GAUGAAGAACGAAGCGAAAUGCGAUAAGUAGUGUGAAUUGCAGAAUUCAGUGAAUCAUCGAAUCUUUGAACGCACAUUGCGCCUCCUGGUAUUCCGGGAGGCAUGCCUGUUCGAGCGUCAUUAAAAUCACUCAAGCUUAGGUUUACCUAUUGCUUGGUCUUGGAGAUGGAAGCCAAUUCAUUGGAAUCCUCUUCGAAAUCCAAUGGCGAAGACCCUUGCUCUCCCAAGUGUAGUAAUAACUUAUGUCACUGAAGGAAGCGAGAAAUCUUCCGCCGUAACCCCCAUAUUUUCUAUGAUUGACCUCGGAUCAGGUAGGGAUACCCGCUGAACUUAAGCAUAUCAAUAAGCGGAGGA
This 354-nucleotide unclassified non-coding RNA is filed under the name soil metagenome. RNAcentral's name for it is "partial contains 5.8S ribosomal RNA, internal transcribed spacer 2, and large subunit ribosomal RNA". The stretch from base 1 to 120 matches the Rfam family "5.8S ribosomal RNA", at positions 35 to 154 of the family's 154-position model. The record is from RNAcentral.